UUCAUGUGGCUCAGUCGGUAGAGCAUUAUGCUAAAAACACAAAGGUCGUGGGUUCAAAACCCAGGGAAA
Molecule: non-coding RNA, 69 nt
Organism: Danionella cerebrum
Lineage: Eukaryota; Metazoa; Chordata; Actinopteri; Cypriniformes; Danionidae
Source: the annotation of a GenBank genome assembly